AUCGCUUAGUAAGGGAGUUGUAGGAGAGGGAGACGGAUCGGAUCGUUAUUCUCUACGCUUUCUCAAGCAGGAACCCCGAUCCAAGCGAGGGCACCAGCUCCCCUUCACUGCCUUAUUGAAGGGAGAAAGGAAAGAGCAAGGUGUAGCUGAUUAGCAAGUUAAUUAUUUCAGUACCCCAAGGGUUCAUGCGUGGUGGAGACAGCCUUGAAGGGCCAACUUCCGGACUCCAGCAGUGUGAGGAUGACAACAGUGCUCAGUAUGGCUGCCACCCCUGCAGAUGGAGGCAGGCUGGCAGCUGUCUGUUGGAGAAGGCAGUGCUGGUGACUACUGAGCUGGUAAUGAUAGUAUUUGUAGAAUAGGAGCGAGUGCAGUUGCUGUUUGGAUUAGGUUUAGCGUCUGUGGCCUCAGAGUGCUGGGUAGGACAGAAGGGAAUAGAGAAACCUCAAGGGCAGGAAGACUGGCAGAGGGAGGAGUUUUGUGGAUCAGUCUUUCCCAAGUGGAGCCUAGGGAUGGUAGCGACAGAACA
Acomys russatus (golden spiny mouse) is the source of this 526-nucleotide long non-coding RNA. RefSeq lists it as uncharacterized. The transcript is spliced from 3 exons. NCBI's taxonomy places the organism in Eukaryota, Metazoa, Chordata, Mammalia, Rodentia, Muridae. The record is from RefSeq and is a predicted model, not a curated record.